UGCGUAGGCGGAUUGAUAAGUCAGUGGUGAAAACCUACAGCUUAACUGUAGAACUGCCAUUGAUACUGUUAGUCUUGAGUACGGUCAAGGUAGGCGGAAUGUGUAAUGUAGCGGUGAAAUGCUUAGAUAUUACACAGAACACCGAUUGCGAAGUCAGCUUACUGGACCAUUACUGACGCUGAGGCACGAAAGCGUGGGGAGCGAACAGGAUUAGAUACCCUGGUAGUCC
Molecule: ribosomal RNA, 229 nt
Filed under: uncultured bacterium
Lineage: Bacteria
Description: partial 16S ribosomal RNA
Rfam family: Bacterial small subunit ribosomal RNA
Source: RNAcentral